RNAcentral lists this ribosomal RNA (261 nucleotides) under Vibrio parahaemolyticus. RNAcentral describes it as "partial 23S ribosomal RNA". It matches the Rfam family "Bacterial large subunit ribosomal RNA", at positions 1448 to 1709 of the family's 2925-position model. The record is from RNAcentral. Lineage: Bacteria; Pseudomonadati; Pseudomonadota; Gammaproteobacteria; Vibrionales; Vibrionaceae.
UUACAAUUGCGAUGGGGGGACGGAGAAGGCUAGGUGGGCCUGGCGACGGUUGUCCAGGUUCAAGUGCGUAGGCUUAAGAGUUAGGUAAAUCCGGCUCUUUUUAAGGCUGAGACACGACGUCGAGCACCUACGGGUGUGAAGUCAUUGAUGCCAUGCUUCCAGGAAAAGCCUCUAAGCUUCAGAUUGUAAGGAAUCGUACCCCAAACCGACACAGGUGGUCGGGUAGAGAAUACCAAGGCGCUUGAGAGAACUCGGGUGAAG